UCCGGGUUGCCUGGCGUCUGAGGGAACCCGCGUGUGUGUGCCACCGCCAGAGUUUCCGUGGUGCUGACCUGGUGCUGAGUUCCGUGCUAGGGCGACGCUGACUAGGUGCUGGCGGCUCACCUCGUACCUACCGUGUUUGUGUGUGAGGGUAAUCUUGGCGCCCACGUGUCCCGGCUUGAAGCUUUUGAGUGGGCCAAGUCACCUAACCUAACCUACCUGUGUGUGCGUGUGUUUGCGUGUGUGUUUGAGUGCGUGCGUGCGUGUGUGUGUGUGUGGUGUGGAAACUGACCCAUCGCCACCACUGUCACCCGCUGCUGACCUUGGUGCUGUGGUGUGCUGAGCGGGAGUGUGUGGUCAGCGAGGAGGCAAUCACAUCAGCUGACUGGCUAACCAUUGAAUGAGUGACUGGCUGUUUCCUCCUCCUCCGCCCACCGCCUCCUCGUCCGGCACUUCGUUAUCUACAGGUUCUCCUGGCCACCACCGGCAGGGACGUUGCCAUGUAGCUGUGGUCAAGGAGGCCCACGGGUCGUGCCGGAACUAGGUGCAGCUGUGCCUGGAGGGUUGCCAUGAUGGCACCACCUUUCACCGUGUCGUGCUGGGCUUCAUCCACCCGACAGGAACGGACAGCAGCGGAGAAGCCGUCAAGGGGAAGCCCUUCAAGGAAGAGUUCCACACACAGCUGUGGCUCGGCCUGCUGGCAAUGGCCCCAGCGACAAUCGUUCUUUUUGGCGCUGGGCCAGACUCGAGAGCUGCAGGACAAACACACACACACACCGUCACGGCCAACACUCUCCACACGCCUGGAGGAGGGAGGCAUUGGUGAGGUGCCGGCCAGCAGCGGACAGUGACAGCGCCAGGAGUUCAGGAACCAAGACCUUACCAGCAGCAGCAAAGGCAGGAUGACCCAGGACUCACUUUCCCCAGGACCAAGCAUAGUAGUAGUAGUAGUAGUAGUAGUUAGUAGUAGUAGUGGUAGUAGGUGGAGUAGUGUGCAUGAUUCCUACCAUCCAAAACUUCAUCCUCUCUUCACAUUUUCCUUCCCCUUCAUGUUUUCCCUUGUGUCUCCUCUCUGUCAUCAUCCUCCUGCCCUUCAUCCUCCCUUCAUGUCUUCCCUUGUGUGUCCUCUCUGUCAUCAUCCUCCCUUCAUGUCUUCCCUUGUGUCUCCUCUCUGUCAUCAUCCUCCCUUCAUGUCUUCCCUUGUGUCUCCUCUCUGUCAUCAUCCUCCUGCC
Molecule: long non-coding RNA, 1229 nt
Organism: Eriocheir sinensis (Chinese mitten crab)
Lineage: Eukaryota; Metazoa; Arthropoda; Malacostraca; Decapoda; Varunidae
Exons: 4
Source: RefSeq, a predicted model, not a curated record